This 28-nucleotide non-coding RNA is filed under the name Bombyx mori (domestic silkworm). The record is from RNAcentral. Lineage: Eukaryota; Metazoa; Arthropoda; Insecta; Lepidoptera; Bombycidae.
UGUUACCAAUACGAGGAGUCAGUCCGAA